GGUUAAGCGACUAAGCGUACACGGUGGAUGCCCUGGCAGUCAGAGGCGAUGAAGGACGUGCUAAUCUGCGAAAAGCGUCGGUAAGGUGAUAUGAACCGUUACAGCCGGCGAUGUCCGAAUGGGGAAACCCAGUGCAAUUCGUUGCACUAUCGUUAACUGAAUACAUAGGUUAACGAGGCGAACCGGGGGAACUGAAACAUCUAAGUACCCCGAGGAAAAGAAAUCAACCGAGAUUCCCCCAGUAGCGGCGAGCGAACGGGGAGCAGCCCAGAGUCUGAAUCAGCUUGUGUGUUAGUGGAACGGUCUGGAAAGUCCGACGGUACAGGGUGAUAGUCCCGUACACCAAAAUGCACAGGCUGUGAACUCGAAGAGUAGGGCGGGACACGUGGUAUCCUGUCUGAAUAUGGGGGGACCAUCCUCCAAGGCUAAAUACUCCUGACUGACCGAUAGUGAACCAGUACCGUGAGGGAAAGGCGAAAAGAACCCCGGCGAGGGGAGUGAAAAAGAACCUGAAACCGUGUACGUACAAGCAGUGGGAGCACCUUUAUGGUGUGACUGCGUACCUUUUGUAUAAUGGGUCAGCGACUUAUAUUCUGUAGCAAGGUUAACCGUAUAGGGGAGCCGCAGGGAAACCGAGUCUUAACUGGGCGUUAAGUUGCAGGGUAUAGACCCGAAACCCGGUGAUCUAGCCAUGGGCAGGUUGAAGGUUGGGUAACACUAACUGGAGGACCGAACCGACUAAUGUUGAAAAAUUAGCGGAUGACUUGUGGCUGGGGGUGAAAGGCCAAUCAAACCGGGAGAUAGCUGGUUCUCCCCGAAAGCUAUUUAGGUAGCGCCUCGUGAAUUCAUCUUCGGGGGUAGAGCACUGUUUCGGCUAGGGGGUCAUCCCGACUUACCAACCCGAUGCAAACUACGAAUACCGAAGAAUGUUAUCACGGGAGACACACGGCGGGUGCUAACGUCCGUCGUGAAGAGGGAAACAACCCAGACCGCCAGCUAAGGUCCCAAAGUCACAGUUAAGUGGGAAACGAUGUGGGAAGGCACAGACAGCCAGGAUGUUGGCUUAGAAGCAGCCAUCAUUUAAAGAAAGCGUAAUAGCUCACUGGUCGAGUCGGCCUGCGCGGAAGAUGUAACGGGGCUAAACUGUGCACCGAAGCUGCGGCAGCGACACUAUGUGUUGUUGGGUAGGGGAGCGUUCUGUAAGCCUGCGAAGGUGGCCUGUGAGGGUUGCUGGAGGUAUCAGAAGUGCGAAUGCUGACAUAAGUAACGAUAAUGCGGGUGAAAAGCCCGCACGCCGGAAGACCAAGGGUUCCUGUCCAACGUUAAUCGGGGCAGGGUGAGUCGACCCCUAAGGCGAGGCCGAAAGGCGUAGUCGAUGGGAAACAGGUUAAUAUUCCUGUACUUGGUGUUACUGCGAAGGGGGGACGGAGAAGGCUAUGUUAGCCGGGCGACGGUUGUCCCGGUUUAAGCAUGUAGGCGGAGGUUCCAGGUAAAUCCGGUACCUUUUAACGCUGAGGUGUGAUGACGAGGCACUACGGUGCUGAAGUAACAAAUGCCCUGCUUCCAGGAAAAGCCUCUAAGCAUCAGGUAACAUUGAAUCGUACCCCAAACCGACACAGGUGGUCAGGUAGAGAAUACCAAGGCGCUUGAGAGAACUCGGGUGAAGGAACUAGGCAAAAUGGUGCCGUAACUUCGGGAGAAGGCACGCUGAUAUGUAGGUGAAGCCCCUGCGGGUGGAGCUGAAAUCAGUCGAAGAUACCAGCUGGCUGCAACUGUUUAUUAAAAACACAGCACUGUGCAAACACGAAAGUGGACGUAUACGGUGUGACGCCUGCCCGGUGCCGGAAGGUUAAUUGAUGGGGUUAUCCGUAAGGAGAAGCUCUUGAUCGAAGCCCCGGUAAACGGCGGCCGUAACUAUAACGGUCCUAAGGUAGCGAAAUUCCUUGUCGGGUAAGUUCCGACCUGCACGAAUGGCGUAAUGAUGGCCAGGCUGUCUCCACCCGAGACUCAGUGAAAUUGAACUCGCUGUGAAGAUGCAGUGUACCCGCGGCAAGACGGAAAGACCCCGUGAACCUUUACUAUAGCUUGACACUGAACAUUGAGCCUUGAUGUGUAGGAUAGGUGGGAGGCUUUGAAGCGUGGACGCCAGUCUGCGUGGAGCCAACCUUGAAAUACCACCCUUUAAUGUUUGAUGUUCUAACGUUGGCCCCUAAUCGGGGUUGCGGACAGUGUCUGGUGGGUAGUUUGACUGGGGCGGUCUCCUCCCAAAGAGUAACGGAGGAGCACGAAGGUUAGCUAAUCCUGGUCGGACAUCAGGAGGUUAGUGCAAUGGCAUAAGCUAGCUUGACUGCGAGCGUGACGGCGCGAGCAGGUGCGAAAGCAGGUCAUAGUGAUCCGGUGGUUCUGAAUGGAAGGGCCAUCGCUCAACGGAUAAAAGGUACUCCGGGGAUAACAGGCUGAUACCGCCCAAGAGUUCAUAUCGACGGCGGUGUUUGGCACCUCGAUGUCGGCUCAUCACAUCCUGGGGCUGAAGUAGGUCCCAAGGGUAUGGCUGUUCGCCAUUUAAAGUGGUACGCGAGCUGGGUUUAGAACGUCGUGAGACAGUUCGGUCCCUAUCUGCCGUGGGCGCUGGAGAAUUGAGGGGGGCUGCUCCUAGUACGAGAGGACCGGAGUGGACGCAUCACUGGUGUUCGGGUUGUCAUGCCAAUGGCAUUGCCCGGUAGCUAAAUGCGGAAGAGAUAAGUGCUGAAAGCAUCUAAGCACGAAACUUGCCCCGAGAUGAGUUCUCCCUGAGACUUUAAGUCUCCUGAAGGAACGUUAAAGACGAUGACGUUGAUAGGUCGGGUGUGUAAGCGUAGCGAUACGUUGAGCUAACCGAUACUAAUGAACCGUGAGGCUUAACCUUAC
RNAcentral lists this ribosomal RNA (2907 nucleotides) under Klebsiella aerogenes KCTC 2190. RNAcentral's name for it is "bacterial LSU rRNA". It matches the Rfam family "Bacterial large subunit ribosomal RNA". Lineage: Bacteria; Pseudomonadati; Pseudomonadota; Gammaproteobacteria; Enterobacterales; Enterobacteriaceae. The record is from RNAcentral.